CAGGUUUCGGGUACUCCGUGCCCAAACUUCAACCCUUUGUCGUUGCUGUAUUUGUUUCUUUGCCGGUUUCGGCCGGCAGAAGAUUUCUCAACCCCGUCAACCUGUCAUCUGAAUUUGAUAUUAAAUCAAUUA
Molecule: unclassified non-coding RNA, 132 nt
Filed under: uncultured Ascomycota
Lineage: Eukaryota; Fungi; Ascomycota
Description: sequence contains ITS1
Source: RNAcentral